GUGCUUGCUUCAGCAGCAUGUAUACUAAAAUUAGAAUGAUACAGAAAAGAUUAGCAUGGCCUCUGUGCAAGGAUGACAUGCAAAUUCAUGAAGCAUUCCAUAUUUUU
Molecule: small nuclear RNA, 107 nt
Organism: Lemur catta (Ring-tailed lemur)
Lineage: Eukaryota; Metazoa; Chordata; Mammalia; Primates; Lemuridae
Source: RefSeq, a predicted model, not a curated record